CCUACGGGAGGCUGCAGUGGGGAAUUUUGCGCAAUGGGCGAAAGCCUGACGCAGCAACGCCGCGUGAGUGAUGAAGGCUUUCGGGUCGUAAAGCUCUGUCAAUGGGAAAGAAGUGUAUUGUGGCUAAUAUCCACGAUACUUGACGGUACCCAUAAAGGAAGCACCGGCUAACUCCGUGCCAGCAGCCGCGGUAAUACGGGGGGUGCAAGCGUUGUUCGGAAUUAUUGGGCGUAAAGCGCGUGUAGGCGAUUUGGUCAGUCUGAUGUGAAAGCCCCGGGCUCAACCCGGGAAGUGCAUUGGAUACUGCCAGACUUGAAUACGGGAGAGGGUAGUGGAAUUCCUAGUGUAGGAGUGAAAUCCGUAGAUAUUAGGAGGAACACCGGUGGCGAAGGCGGCUGCCUGGACCGAUAUUGACGCUGAGACGCGAAAGCGUGGGUAGCAAACAGGAUUAGAUACCCUUGUAGUC
Molecule: ribosomal RNA, 466 nt
Filed under: uncultured Desulfuromonadales bacterium
Lineage: Bacteria; Pseudomonadati; Thermodesulfobacteriota; Desulfuromonadia; Desulfuromonadales
Description: bacterial SSU rRNA
Rfam family: Bacterial small subunit ribosomal RNA
Source: RNAcentral